This 74-nucleotide transfer RNA is filed under the name uncultured archaeon. RNAcentral's name for it is "tRNA-Pro(tgg)". It matches the Rfam family "tRNA". From Rfam's summary of the family: Transfer RNA (tRNA) molecules are approximately 80 nucleotides in length. Their secondary structure includes four short double-helical elements and three loops (D, anti-codon, and T loops). Further hydrogen bonds mediate the characteristic L-shaped molecular structure. tRNAs have two regions of fundamental functional importance: the anti-codon, which is responsible for specific mRNA codon recognition, and the 3' end, to which the tRNAs corresponding amino acid is attached (by aminoacyl-tRNA synthetases). tRNAs cope with the degeneracy of the genetic code in two manners: having more than one tRNA (with a specific anti-codon) for a particular amino acid; and 'wobble' base-pairing, i.e. permitting non-standard base-pairing at the 3rd anti-codon position. The record is from RNAcentral.
CGAGAAUAAGUGUUGUGGCCGCACGCGUGCUUUGGGAGCAUGUGGGGUUGGUUCGAUUCCAGCAUUCUCGACCA